UACAGAGGUGGCAAGCGUUGUUCGGAAUUACUGGGCGUAAAGGGCGCGUAGGCGGCCUUCUAAGUCAGACGUGAAAUCCCCCGGCUUAACCUGGGAACUGCGUCUGAUACUGGGAGGCUUGAGUAUGGGAGAGGGAUGUAGAAUUCCAGGUGUAGCGGUGAAAUGCGUAGAUAUCUGGAGGAAUACCGGUGGCGAAGGCGGCAUCCUGGACCAUAACUGACGCUGAGGCGCGAAAGCUGGGGGAGCAAACAGG
RNAcentral lists this ribosomal RNA (253 nucleotides) under uncultured bacterium. RNAcentral's name for it is "partial 16S ribosomal RNA". It matches the Rfam family "Bacterial small subunit ribosomal RNA", at positions 524 to 776 of the family's 1533-position model. The record is from RNAcentral.